This is a long non-coding RNA of Pipistrellus kuhlii (Kuhl's pipistrelle), 14351 nucleotides long. RefSeq lists it as uncharacterized. The transcript has 9 exons. The record is from RefSeq and is a predicted model, not a curated record. Lineage: Eukaryota; Metazoa; Chordata; Mammalia; Chiroptera; Vespertilionidae.
CCAGUCCAGGUCGAACGUUGAUGAGUGAGUGGGUGGGUGGGUGGUGAUUGAUUGCCUGCAGGAAACCACAGUGACAACAGCCUCUGGGCAUCAGGAGGGACGGCACCAGGUAUGGCUGCCAUUUAAUUCCAAAUUGCAGUUGAAGUCUCACAUGACUUCAUCAUUUACAGGGUUGUAACUGCCCAGGGUUCCUGCCUUCAGUAGUAUCUUUGUCCUUCAGCAUCUUAUUGAGCCUCUGUCUUAGGUAGCAUCUCCUUACUCAGCUUCUCUGUCUGUAGCAUCUUAUCUGAUUGAGCUCUGUCUGAUGGAGCAUCUUUUUACUGAGCAGCUCUGCCUUAUGUAGCAUCUCUUUAUUGAGCUUCUCUGUAGCAUCUCCUUACUGAGCUUUUCUGUCUGAUGUAGCAUCUUAUCUCAUUGCUCUGUCUGAUGGAGCAUCUUUUUACUGAGCUUCUCUGCCUUAUGUAGCAUAGCAUCUCUUUAUUGAGCUUCUCUGAUGUAGCAUCUUACUGAGCUUCUCUGUCUGAUGUAGCAUCUCCUUAUUGAGCUUCUCUGUCUGAUGUAGCAUCUCCUUAUUGAGCUUCUCUGUCUGAUGUAGCAUCUCCUUACUGAGCUUCUCUGUCUGAUGUAGCAUCUCCUUAUUGAGCUUCUCUGUCUGAUGUAGCAUCUCCUUAUUGAGCUUCUCUGUCUGAUGUAGCAUCUCCUUACUGAGCUUCUCUGCCUUAUGGAGCAUUUAUUUAUUGAGCUUCUCUGCCUUAUGGAGCAUCUUAUUGAGCUUCUGUCUUCAUGUAGCAUCUUAUUGAGCUUCUCUACCUGGUCACAGCAUCUGUCUUCAUGUAGGAUCUUUAUCUGAUUGCAACUUCUUUAUUUUCCUGUAGCAUCUUUGUCACUUAGCAGCCAGAAUGAAGGUAAAAGUAGAUUCCCAAUAUGAGUAAUUGAUGAGGAUACAAGUGGAUUUCAUCUGUUCAGUCUGACUUCCUUUUUCUUGGCCAUUCUCACUGACCUUUGCACCUUGAUUUUUUUCCACACUUGGGAAUACUUUAGUUUUCUCAUGUCACCUUGCUCUUCGGUGGGAUUCCAGCAUGCUGUUGGAGGAGAGGAACCUUAGACUUCCUCCUGUUAAAUCUGUCUGCUGGUUUCUGGUGUUCCACUUUCCACUUUUCAGUUUGUUGGGCAGUUGGCUUGAGAGAGUGGAUUCUAGGUAUUUUCUUGUAAGGCACCAAAGGUCUCAACCCAAUUCUGAGAUUUCUGGAUGUUUCAUGAUCUUUGAUUCCCCAUCCCUAGAUUUCAACCUUAAUUCUGGGUCAUUGAGUGACAUUGUUGUCCAAGAUGAUUGAUUGAUCAGUCAUGCCCUCUGGUAGGCUAGGGCUGUCCUGGUAGUAGAAAUGUACAGUCCACAGGCAUUACCCUCCAACCAGGUGCACUUGCUGUUGGUAAGACGUGGGCUUGACUCAUGAUGAGCUAUGUUGUCUGAACUGAAUGACGUGAAAGUCACCCGAAUGAAUACUCUGAAGUCCAGCCAAAGUGUCCAUCCACGCACGUGGGCCGCACAUUUCUUUAACAUCCGUUUGUAGGCUGUACAUUUCACCAGGCUUCCCGUCAACACUGCAGGUUCGUUAGAGAAAGGAGGGAGCUGUGGGUAUUGAUCCCCACCCAUGACAUGGUUUCUUGUGUCUCAGCAUAUGCUGUCUCACCUUUGACUUUCCCAUCAUGCAUUUCAAGUGACACCUCAUGACAGCUGCACUGGUUCCCACCUUGGACCAGAGCUUCCUGAGACCAUGGCCCCCAGCCCCUCGGAGCAGCUCCAGUUAGCACAUGAGGCAGAACAUGCCAGUUGGUUGAGACCUUGCUUUUGUCUAAGAUCAGUUUACGUUUUUUUCCACCAGAGGGAGCACUCUCAUUCUUUUCUUAGUCACCACCUUUUGCAUGUUGGCAAGAUGGAGAUUGAUUGUUGGCUCAGAUUCAAGGGGGUGAAGGGGCGUUGGCAGUGGGUGAAUCUGAGCACAGGUGAGGGACAUUUUUGCCAAAAUGCCAUGCAUUCUUUGAACGGGGACUUCACGUCAUUCUUUAACAUCUGUCUUGUAUGAGUAAUGGAUCUUAAGACCUGAGAUUGACAUUCUACGACUAAGUGCUUGUGCUUUGCUUGUAGUAGCUCUUGUGAGGGAUUGAAUAGUAAUUAAACAGGUAUUUAGGAAAACCUGUAUAAAAAAGUUACCAUGGACAAUUGAAUGUAUUAAGACCUUAUCCUUAAAUAGUCACCUUAAUUUCAAUGCAUGUGUGUGAGUGUGUGUAAAUAGUGUGGGUGUGGCUAGUGUGGCGAGUGAACAGCUUUUAGUGGAAAAAGCUGUAAAGAUUAACAAACAACGUUCUUUGUAAAUAGGUUAGAUAAGUAUUAGCAGUUUUUUACCUUGUUUAGUUCCAGUUAUCCUACCAGAAUUUUUUUUUUUUAAUAUUUACUACCUCAGAGACUUGUUUGGUUUCUCUUAGAGAAUUGAGAGAAGAAAGAUGCCCUUUCUACUAACUGAAUUACAGUGGGAACAUGCAGUUGAGGGAGUUAGCAGUCUUUUGACCUUGAACAUUGGGCGCAACAUAGGGUGAUACCAACUGCUGAGAGAAAGGACCCUGAUCCAGCUGGCUGAGAACCAUCAGUACAUCCAUUCUUGAGGCGCAUGUGGCCUAGAGAGAACCCCUGCACACUCUGGAAGUGAUCAGGUGCUUGUUUCAUGGAUGGGGAGGGCUGACUUGAUCAGACUCUUUGGGAAGGCUGAGAUGGAGAGUGAGUGGUAGUGGACACAGGGAAGAAGGAAAUUGAAGGGCUUAAAGGGAUUCCAUCAGGUUGAAGGGAGCCAUCUGGGUAAAUGGAGAGCAACAUCAGUUACUUCAUUUGAGUCUUGGAAUAUCAGGAGGCUGUGGGGGAGGUUAGGUGCUGCAGGUACCACUUACCUGCCACUGUGUCAUUCAGCGCCUUGGUCUCGGCCAGCCUUGAUGGGUUAGCUCCGGGUCCUUUCUUGAGAUGACAGCUGGGUUAGUAGAAUAGGUGAAGGGGUUUGCAUUUGUAGCCAGCUAAGAUGAGGCCAAACUUGUCUCCAACCUUAGUGCACAUGAGAAUCAGUCUGCGGGCUUGUACAGUUUGUCUGCUGCUGAUUCAGUAGGUCUAGGGCGGAAAAGGUGACAUGCCCUGUUCAGGCACCACACAGAGAACCAAUAGCUGGGGGUGAUUCAGAGUUCCUUGGGCAUUAUCUGAAAGGACUGUUCCACACGCCAAUCUGCAUAGACCUCAUUGUGGAACAUUUAAAAUGGACUCAUUAGAGCAUUUAAUUUGGAAAGAAAUUGGCUGUCUAAAGGUGAAUGCAAAAUACUUUUUUCUUAAAAUAUAACCAAUUAGUAACCAAAUUUGUAAUUGGCCAGAAACUGAAAAUUUGAGUGUGAAUCCUUUCAUCAGAAUUGCCAAAAUAAAUUUAAAUUAUGUACCUGAUUGGAGAAAGCAAAUUAAUUUGGAUAAUGUCUCUAAUAAUGAAUCAACUACCCAAAUAUUGACCUCAAUUUGGAUGAAACUGAACAGUAAAGUUUCCAGAAAACAGUAGUAUUCUCAAUAGCAUGCUAAUUUCAUAGACAUGGUAAUUUUGCCAGAUGCUUCCACUGUGGGGGAGUGUUUUAUCCAGUUUGUGUUCUGUGUUGGUUACUGAACUGUGCACAGCUUUAUUAUUUUUUGCAUAUGGUUGUUGUAUUGUAAGCAUCCACUCCUAAGUCAUUUAAAAUGGCCAUAACUGGCAAUACCAAUGAGUUAAUGAGUGAUGCUAUUUUCUAGUGGCAAAUUUCAAUAUGUAUUUAAUAGCUUUGCUGUAAAUAUCCUGGUGGCAAUAUUUGGUAUUGAAAUUGAGCUUUUGUAAAUAUGCUUCUAAAUGGGAAUAGUGUUACAAUGGACUGUUCACUGUUAGUGGCAAGCUUUGACAUUUUGUCACUUCAGUCGGGGUUUCUCUGUAUUGGGAGGUGCUGAGGAGUGUGGAGGUAGAGAGACUUUGCAACGAAUGAAAAAGGAACCCAGACUAGAAACAAAGAGACCUCUUCUGUGGCUUGGACCGAAUUCAAAUAAGCAAUCAUGUUGUUUUAGGAACUUGUGACUUAGGAAGGGACUCCUAUGGAAUAAGGGGAGACCUCUUUUCUGUGGUUGGACUCAAUAAAAUGAGCAAUCAUGGAAGAUUUUUUUUUUUUAAUUGUGACAUGAAGGACCUCAACCUUGAAACAAGGAGACCUCUCUUCUAUGGUUUGGACUCAGUAAAAUGAGCAAUCAUGGAAGACUUACUUGUGACCUGUAAAGGAUGUAAAUUUGAAACAAGGAGACCUCUCUUCUGUGAUUCGGACUCAAUAAAAUGAGCAAUCAUGGAAGACUUAAAAAUGUGACCUAUAAAGGAAAGGGACCUAAAUUUCAAACAAGAAGACCUCUUUUCUGUGGUUUGGACUCAAAAAUGAGAAAUCAUGGAACACUUAAAGUUGUGACUUAAAAGGACCUGAAUUUGAAACAAGGAGACCUCUUUUCUGUGGCUUGGGCUGAAGAUAGGGAGAAAUCCCACAGGAUUUUUAUAAAAAAAAACCUGAUAGUUUCUAUGAGAAUUAAAUUACUGCAAUGAUAUGGAUUUCCUUAUUUUUGUAGGAUGGCAGAAAAAAAAAAGUGACCUAUUUUUCUAAUUAUCUUUUGCUUAAUGUGUAACUCUCUGGUGAGCAUGACUGAAUGGAUUGGGUGUUUUCUCAGUUAAGGUCUUAGGUGAGGCCAAAGGAAUAUUUGAAAUUUCCCACCCCUCCAAAACCCGAACCACAGUGAGGAAACUAAAAUAUUUAAACACAACUCAAUGAGUAAUAUUUUUGUCUUAGAUUGCAAUAUGGUAAAAUUUGUUUAAAUGUUUACAAGAAAGCAUAGCCUGACUUCUGGUAUUUUAUGGAGAGAGAUUCAUUGGCCUUAAAGUCAUUGCUGUUCUCUUUCCAAGACCUAGUGUAAUUGGCAUUUCGUAUAGAUUUGAAGGAUAGAUCGUAUGUCAUAAUUUGGCUAAAUUAUUGGGUAAAAUCUAUUCAUAAAGAAACAAAAGGUACAAGAAAUGACAAUUCAGCUUCUAGUUUAAAUCUCAAUUCUUAAAGAUUUAAGUGGCAUUUGAUUUUGCCUCUGCUGGGUGCAGAGAAUUGGGUAACACCAUCCUAAAUUCAACUUGCUUAUCCAUAGUUAAGGAAUACUUCCCAUUUCAAUUUGGCUUCUGUGGAAAGGAAAAGGAUCAUUCUUAAAGUCAUCCAUCUGUUUCAGUCUAGCUCACUAGAGAAUAAAACUUACCUGUUUAAAAAAAAAAACAAGCAGGUGAACGAAUCUCUUGUACAACCUCUUAGAGAUCAAGAGUUCAUUGUUAUUGAGAGUAUACAACUGUUUACUUAGUGGUAACCACGGACGUAGCCACAUAAAAUUAUGUAAAUAGACCUAUCAUUGUUUAGCUUUUCUAAUGUACAUAAACAUCUUCUACAACUUGCUGUUAAAACACUUGGAACAGUUGUUUUUAAAAUGACAAGACCAUGUCUGGAUCGCUCCAAGAAGAAACUAGCAAGUGACCAUGUGAAAAUUUCAUGCCAUCAUAACCAUCACUUCAAAACCAUUGCAUGAUACCUUUGACUGAAUUUUAUAGAAUGUAAAAAGCUGCUGCCAACGAGGGGGUGACCAAGGGGCAGGCAUUGGACACGCCUGGAGCCUGAGAACCAUGGACAAGGGUUUCUUGCCAAAAGUAAGAACCUGCGUAGCCGGGGGAUUGCUGCUCAGGCUCCAGUAGAUGGCUGUCCCGCACCUACCUUUCCAAUUGGCAGUUCGACCUCUUGUAACUUUUUUAAAACUCCCAGCCGUCGCCUUACUUCUGUCUUCAGAUUCUCUCGUCUGUCUGCCAGAGAGUCUCUGACAGAUGACGAACCACAUCGUGUUCCAACAGUAUUAUGAUAAGCAAUAAUCAGAAGAGGGGAAAGAUUCCAUAGACUGAUACUAUCAGCGUCUUUUGCCACUCUCAGAACUGGUAAUCUUCACUUGUCACCUGAAGAUUUGGAUUCUCAAAAUCUGGGAUGUUCAUUCAUCAAACCCCCUCCCCCCCGGUCCCCUAACAACCAUCUCCAGAAGUUUGUACAGCAGAAACCGUUACUGAAAGCCACGAUGAUGUACAAUGGAUGGGCCUGAGAUCCCAGCCUGAGGAACUGCCCGGCCUGAACCAGGGAACUCUGUGGGCAUCUAAACCUCAUGCAAACUGAAGGGGUCUUUGGCCAGAUCGAGAGCCAUUAUCCCACCCUAAUAAGAAUCGAUGCCUGGGCCAAAAGCAAAGGAACGGCAUCUCUCAUUCCGUAUUCCUCCCCAAAAAGGGGUGUGAAGGGCAACAUCAAGCAGACACAGGUCAACCCCGCAGGAGCUGGAGAGGAAGGACACACAGCACAUUCUUACUGAUCUUGAAGCUUUACCAGCCACGAGGACAAGAAACACAGAUUUAUACUCUUUGUUUGGACCAUCCGCUCUUACAUCUCUUUGGAGAAAAAGAAUAUUUUGUGGGGAAUCUCAACUCCCCUUCAGAAGGUCUACCAUUGAAAGCUGUGUAACAGAGACAUUUGUAUAGAUGCCUGAGGCACAGGUCCCCAGUUUUUUCUCCAAUUAGCAUUUUAAAAACAACUAAGAAUCUAACCCUGCUCACUUUAUUGCCCACAUAAAGCUGAACAAUUGAUGGACAUUGGUAUGGACAAUGAUGUUAAAAUGUAAAUAUGAAAUGCUCAGUGACUAAAGAAUGUUAUGAACUGUUCUUGGUGUGAGGAGACAAAGAGAAUGAAAUUCGACAUAUAAUGGUUUCAUUUUCUUGUAUUUUAUUCUUUGUUUACGUAAACUUCCUUGGAAUAUAAACUCAAGCACAGAGGCCUCCAUUUGUAAACAAAUCUGUUAUUUUUGAAUAUUUUUGUAAUGGUUGCUGUGAUAUACUCAAGCUGGUUUCCUAGGGAAGUUUCUAAUAACACAUUUGGUAAAAUUGUCUUCUGGAUUAGUUUUGUAAAGCUAUACACAAUUCUGGACUCGUUUGUGCUCAGGGAUAGUAGAAAAGGAAAUGGCAAGGCAUUAGAUAUCCAUGUGUAUAAAAAAGCCAAAUAUAAUUGCUUUGCACCAUUUUCUGAUGUAUAUAGUUUUUAACAAGGAGUUUGGUUACGUGUAUAGAAGUAUUUUAAUACCUGAUGUUAAAUAGAACUGUCAGAAUACCUCUGAAAGAUGUACAUACAUUUAACCAUUUGAAAGGACGGUCGCUGUGGGAUUGGGCCAGGUGGUUUCAAACACAGCGACCACAGACAUGAAAGGCUGCUCCGUGGGUGUAAAUGUUCGUGUGAUUGGCAUUGUUUUGAUAUGUAUAUGUUGCGCUAUGCUUAUACCAAGUGCUAUUGCUGUUUAUAUAAGAGCUGUUGCGCUAUGUUUCAAAGCCAUCUCACGGAGAUGGCUUACCUCCAUGCUCACACGUCUACCUUUAGUUUGUAAAUUUUCUUUUCAUUUUUAUAUAGCCUCACGAUUUAUUUAUUACUUAUAACAUUUUGUUUUUUAUAAACAAUGUUACUAAUGCCUAACAUGCAAUUUUUAACGUGUAUAUACAUUAUUGUAAAUUUGUUAUAAAUAUGACCAACUUACUGGGAUAGAAGCAUUUUUGUUUACCAAAGAGAUGUUAGAUGUAGCCUCUCGGUGUUCCUUCAUCAUUAGGCGCCAUGUUUAUGUUGUCCUCAAUGUAGAACAUAGUACAAUGCACUCUGGUUUAUGACGUCAUGCUGGAAAUGUCAUUGCAACUGUAGGUCUGCUCUUAUUGAUGGUUUCAGAUAUAUUUGUAUACAAAUAGGACAGGUUUUUUGCAUAACUUGGAGAAAUCUCUACAAUGUGGUGUAAAAUAGCAUAGGUUAGACAAGUUCAUUUGCAAGUGGAAAUUGACAUAAUGAUAAUAGUGAAUUGUUUUUAGUACAUAUUCCUAGUUGUAUAGGUGAUUUAUGUUUGGGACGUUAGCAAUGGAAUAUAUUAAACCCAAGUUCAUUAUAUGUGGGCUGACAAAAGAAUGUUUUUGUAUAAUAUGUAUAUAUAUAUAAUAUUCAGUUAUUACAUGUUUUGUAAAGCAAUAGGGACUUUUAUAUUUGCAUGUCUUAUUUUUAGAUUAUUGUAUAUAUCUUUUUUAAACUUUUAGUCCUUUAAAUAUGAUUGUUUACAUAUUCAUAUGUGUAUAUAAAUAUACACAUAUACAUGUACAUAUGUGUAUAUUAGUGUACAGAAUAUUUUUUUAAAGUCAUAGGACAAACAAUGGAAGAUACUGUGACGCUGCUAGUUAUAUGGUGGACAAAUGUUUUGUUUUAUAACAUCUGCAUUGAUAGACAAAGGUGACUUCUAUUUAGGCAAUUAAAUUGCUAUAUUUGUCUAGUCAACAUGUAUUGUUUGGGGGGGGUUAUUGCCUUUGUGUUGUAUUUUUUUUUUCAGUAGACAUUCUUAGUUAAGGUGUAGAAAUCAUUGUCAUUAAUAUGUUAAUCGUGUAAAUUUUUUCUUUCAAGUUUGUUUUUUAAUGUUAAGUUCUGGAUUUGAGCAGGGAGGUUAUCUGACUGCUGUAUGUAUAAUAGACAAGCUUCUUACACAUCUUCACUUCCUAGGUGUAUAGAAGAAAUCCUCUCUACAUGCGCACAUAAGCGCAUGCCCACACACGUGCGCACACACACACACAGAGUACAUAUGUUAAUGUUGACUUAUGGUUAAAAAAUGUUUGUUACCAAUAGAAGUGUUACUUCACCCCCUAGUGUUUGAUAUCACUUGGGGUGAAUGGGGGUAAUUAAGCUGACCAGAUCUUUGUUUUUCUAUCAAUAUACUCUUGUACAUGUGCAGAGAUUUCUAUCGUUGUAAAUUCUAUUUCACCUGGAAUUAUAGCACAUAUGCUUCACGUAGGCUUUUUUUUCUGCUUGCUUGCUUGAAAUGGUUCACCAGUCCUGCCUAUUGUAAUCUUAAAACUGUAUUUAUCUUUAAAACGCCUGUUCAUUGCUGAUAUACUUUCUAGUAUCAAUAUAUUCAUAUAAUUAGAUUUUUUUCCUCAAAUAUUGAAAAAGGUUAGUGGAUGUUUUCUGACCUCAUCUAAUAUUUUCUUAUCUAUUUUUUGUUUAUGUCGAUGACAUGUAAUCUGUCUUUUGCAUUGCAUGUGGACCACCCAAAGUAAAAUCCUCUUCCAUCACCAUAUAUUUGGCCCCCAUUUUCCUUAACUACCUCGCCACCCACUUCCCAACAACAUGGAUGGACCUUGAGAAUAGUAUGCUAAGUGAAAAGUGUUUUUACCUCACAUUUUUAUUUAGACGUAAAAAGUAGAUAAUAAGCAUGAAAUUGUCAUUUUAUAGAAAAAUACCUCAAUUUAAGGGCCAUGUUGUUAUAUAUUAGUUUCCCAGAUGUGCUGAGGUUCGUGAUGGAAUUGUUUUUUCUAAAGAACAUUUACAGAAUCUCUAAAAUAUAUAAUCCUGUAAAUAUUAUUGUAUAUUUGUUCCUACCCAAUUGUCUUUCAAUAAUAACACGGCAAUAAAAUUAAAUGUACAACUUAAUUCAUUUACCCCAAUAUGGAAGACUAGUCUGGCCAUCCUAAGUAUGAAUUGUAAACAAGAUUCAGUGUGAAUUUGGUGUGUUUUUGGGUGUGCCAAGUUUCCCAGUAGGUUUCUGUUUUUAUUAAGAUUUUUUGAAAAGCGGUUUUAAAUUCAUAGCAAAUUUAGGGGAAGAUAUAAAGAUUUCCCAUAUACCUCAGUCCCCACUCACAUGCAAUAAUCAGCCCAACACGUAGGGUAAUCAUGCCUUUUACAUCCAUAAGGUGACAUUUUGACAUUGACAUACCCAUUAUGAUAUUGGUUAUUCUCAUGACCCUAAAUCCUGUUAUCUGCCUAUUAAUCCUUCCGUCUGUAUUUUUUUCUUUUUCACAUCGAAGAAAAUUAGUUGCUUCGCCAAACGGAUUUUAUACUACCUCUUGGAACUACACAUAGUUGUUGUGUGUGUGUUCCCGUGGUCGCAUGACAGUAUUCAAGACAACUUUGUAAAUAACAGGCAGAUACACUUUAAUUUCCCACAUCUAGUCUUUCCAAAUGUAUAUAUUCUCUCACUCAGAGUAUACUUUUGUAAAUAAUUCAUUGUUCAAUCUCAUGCUUUUAUAUUCUUAGGAUGUGUGGUGGUUUCUUGAGCUGUAUAUAUUGCUCUGUUUGUGGAUUUGCUAGGGGGUGGGUAAAAGGGAAUGGUCCUACGCUUUUUGAAAUAAGGCAUUGUUUAGUGUUGUAUUCUACAUCAAAGACCUCAGUCCUCACUUUGUGGUUGUGUAGCUAAUAGGGCAUUAUGUGUUUUAAUCUUGGGAAAUGUAUUUUAAAAGAAUUACACAGCCACAGUCAGGACAAUUUUGUAAAUAGGCAUAUAUAUACACGCAUUUUAAACAUCUAGGUUUUCUAGAUGGAUAGGGAGAUUGGCAAAUUUUGUAAAUAAUGCAUUGAAUACUAGCAUAAGGUGGCUUCUGGUAUGUUUGGCAAUGUGCUAGGUGGUAGUUAGUGAUGGUUUGAUUCCCUGGCCGUGUGAGCAUUCUGGUGUGCGGAGAGUUCCUGGAAGUGGGAUCCUGAGAUUGCUUUCAUGUCUUCGUCUCAGUGAGGCUCUCUGUAGAAGGAAAGGCUACACCGGAUAUGGACAAAAGUAUUGGCACACCAGACAUGUGUGGUGAAGCUCUAGGGAUAAAGGUGUGUGACAAGAACUGUCACUUUGUCACAUCCAGAUGUUGUCAGUGAUGGAAUCAGACAUGGCAGAGACGCACAUUGCUAAAGAAAUUGCUAUGUUGCUAGGCUAGAUAAAUGUGAACAUACGCACAUAUGAACAUUUGUUCUAGGGGGAUAGAUCUGAAUGCUUGUUUUCUCAUUAGCUUAUUGAUUUUCAUUUUGCUAUGAAAGUUAUUCUUACACUUCUAAAAGCCAGCCUCAUUACAUGUUAAUGUGUUAAUUUUGUAUACGAUAAUUAAGCAACUCCAUCUAUCAAUGCUUUCACUUGUGUCAUCUGUAUGAGAGAAUUUCACUAAUUAUGAAUAUUUUAAUUCUCUGAGACCUCUAAAACUUUUCUGGUGAAUUGUUAUAUUUGAAGGUCAUGAUUUAAUGUCAAAAGUGUAUUGUAUCUCAGUUGCCUGUAAUGUACUUUCGUAAAGUUUCUUAGAAAGAUGGUCCAAUCCAGUGUGGAUUAAAGUAUAAAUCAUCUAUUUGAAUAGCAGCUUGGCAAUGACAAUCAAAAGUGAAUGCGUAAAAUUGACUGCUGUGAUUUUAUCUAUUCCAAUUCAAAUUUACAAUGUUGAAAGUACAUUACAAAUUGAAAGAAACUUUGAACGACUGAAAUACACAUUAGUUAAAGAUAAUGAUUAUAGAUUACUUAAAUGGAUAUAAUUUAAAUACUGAUAAGACUUUCUUAUGUGGAUGUGUGUUUUAAAUUGAUACUUAAAGCUGUCAUUUUUUAGCAAAGAUCAACAAAUGUCUGUGACAAGGAGGUAUGUCCAUGGGCCUCUACGUCAUCUACCAGAAAAGCUGAGGGCAAUGAUUCAACAUCAGUGUUGCUAUCAUGGUGAUGGUUUCGACCCUCUGGCAUUUUUGUGCAUGUGCUAGUAAAAUAGUAAGCAUCGCUCAUCCAUGUAUUUGUAUGUUGCUACAUGACAAUCUAAAGUGACCGAGUAUGGAAGAGAAAGUUGUCUGGCCAACUAUGGCAAAAUCUCAAAAGUACAAACAGAUGUGAGUGGAAGGACUGCUUCUACUUUGUGCAUUCAAAAUGUUAAAAGGUGUUUCAGAAAGAACAUUAACAACAGGAUGUUAAAGGCACCUAAUUUGUGCCUGUCCAUCUUGCCUAUCAACACCCUGGGCAUGUGUGGCCGUGGUGUCCGGCCUUCUAUUGCGAUUUGGACCUGACUAAUGCUUUUAAGAGAUCAAGACAGUAUGUGACUCGGAGACUAACGCAGCACGGAUCUGUACCGUGUAAGGAAGAGGAAGAAGGAGAAUCGGUGACCAAGGAGAGAAGAAGGGAGAUGGCAGGAGUGAAAAAAUGAGGAAAGGAAACUGAAUUUGCGAAAAUGUAAGGACAAUUAACAUCGGGAAUAUUCAUCUUUCGGUGGAGUUCCUUGUUCCCUGAGGCUCAACGGAACCACAGGAGGUGAUGGUGCUCAGGAAGUCUCCACUGCAGUGCUCCACCGCCCCGUCCUCACGCUGUGCCCCACUUCCAUCCCUGGCCCAGGAGCGUCCCGGAGACAUGCAUGGGAUGCCCGGACAGACGCCUGCCAGCUUCUGCCACCACCAGAACACCACCGUCUUCAGAGCGGCUCAGAGGUGCCUCCUGGGCGUGGCCACGGACACACCCUGCCAGCUCAGCUCGACAGAGAGAACUUCGUGUCCAAGGUGACCUCGCGGUGAUGGCGAGAACUGUAAGCAGCAUGUUGACUGUUGUCCUUGUUGCUGUGGGACUGGAACCAGGAAAUGGAAAGCUGGAGACCUUAAGACCGAAGCCCUGGACGUGCCGUUGUGAGGCCUCCCCCAGGGCUCCCAUAUAUUCUUAUUUUACUUGUAGCUUAGAUUUACAAUGUAUUCAUUAAGAUAGUUUUUUUUUCUUUAGAUUUUAGGCGACAUAAAAAUUUGUUAAGUAUGUAGUCACUACUUUAUGUACCUUUUAAUUUUUACCCUCACCCCAUGUUAUAUAAUGUCAUUUUAUUUUUCAUUUAGAUAACAUUCAAUACUACUUUGUAUUAGUUUCAGGUAUACUCAAUCAAUGUUUCUGGUACCCACCAGGACCCAUAUACACGGAUCACAGUACGAAAUGACAGUACUCCCUACGCUAUCAUCUACUAAUAGAGUUAGUGCGCACCCUUGUGGUGGCGCUCACACAUUGUAGGCAAGUAGUGCUUUAGGCGCUUACCCUGACCACGCAUCCUCUCUGCAUCGAACACACUUUUAUACCAUUCCUUUUGAAUUAUCCAACUAACUAGUUGAAAAAAACUCCAAUGAAUUGGAAAUUCUCUGGCCAAAAAUAAUCAAUUUAUAUAUAGGCUCAAGUUAGCUUUCCACUCACGCUAGGUCCUUCUCGUUAAUCUUCCUCCGCUGUUUGAGCUCAAACUGCACAAACACUGUUCAGAGCGGUAGACUGUUAGGUGCCAGUGUCUUCGUUCUGCCCUGACUUCGGAGAAGCUCCUCCAGCACUGCUCAGCACAGUCACACACUCACCGCUUCUGCAUCACCUCACCUCUUCAUUCCAUUUCCCCAGUUCCCUUGCAUCACUGUAGCAUCACUGGUUUUUAAGAGCUUGUUUAUCACUAAAGAUGUUAACCAUUUCUCAUGCAUUUGCAAAUGAAAUACCAUGUUUUUGUUACCAUUUUACUCCGGUGUUUUACUUUUUGGUUGUAUCCAAACUUGUUAUUAAAUAUAAUCAUAUAAUGUUUUAUCCCUUUUGUGUUGGUGUUUUUCUUUUUAAAAACGUUUACAAUAGUAUACAUUUAUGUCUAUAUUUCCUUCUACUUUAUGUCAGUUUUGUCAUUUUAUUUUUUUUUUACACAAAUCAUUGCUGCAGUUUUAAAGGCAUCACAUACUCAUAUUAUGCACCUUGACCUAAACAGUUCACCACUAGUUUUAAAUUCUACCCUAUUGUUUAAAUCCCAAAAUUCAGUCUGUUGACUCUGUUUCUGAUCAUCCUAUUAAUGCUUCAAAAUUACUGGUACCUGUGACUCUUACCUAGUCUAUUGAGUUCUAUCUCCUUUCUUUUCUUUUUCAGAAUAUUCCCUGUCUAUACUCGCACUUUUUCUGUCACUCGAUGCUUAAAAUUAUUUUGCAAGUUGGGAAAACAUGCAGUUUUAUUUCAUUUGCAUCAAAAUAAUUAGAUUAACUAGGAGACAAUAUCUUUUAAGUGACUUCCUAUACAACUACAGUUAUAACUGAGGUGUUCCCAGUGUAAGAAGUGACACAUCUUAGAUGCUGACAUUCCUAGAUCAAUCCAAAUUGUAGUUCUUGUUGAUCAGUUCUGUGGAUUUGAUCUUCGGAAAUGCUGCAUCUUCCGUGAGCGAGGACCAAAGAGACUUUGAUUGCAGGUGGUGGGCAUGUGGACAACAGGACCCCAGGCACCUUCUGAAGUGACCCCACCCUUCAGCAUCACCCACAGGCCGCCUCGUUUCCCCCUCCGAGAAGCUUGCUGCGUCUCUGUCUCCCCAAGGGCAUGGACAGCUUUUCUAGAACUGACCUGCUGGCUGGCAAGUAAUUGCCUGGACUCUAUGGUGUACUUCUCUUUGCUCUGAAUAUCCGUCAUAUGAUUUCUUCUAUUGUCUUCUGGACUUCGUUGCAUUUUG